RNAcentral lists this microRNA (21 nucleotides) under Homo sapiens (human). RNAcentral's name for it is "hsa-miR-181d-3p". Its record names the gene hsa-miR-181d-3p. Lineage: Eukaryota; Metazoa; Chordata; Mammalia; Primates; Hominidae. The record is from miRBase by way of RNAcentral.
CCACCGGGGGAUGAAUGUCAC